This 468-nucleotide ribosomal RNA is filed under the name uncultured bacterium. Its description in RNAcentral is "partial 16S ribosomal RNA". It matches the Rfam family "Bacterial small subunit ribosomal RNA", at positions 28 to 507 of the family's 1533-position model. The record is from RNAcentral.
GACGAACGCUGGCGGCGUGCUUAACACAUGCCAGUCGAACGGAAGGGCCCUGCUUUUGUGGGGUGCUCGAGUGGCGAACGGGUGAGUAACACGUGAGUAAACUGCCCUUGACUUUGUGAUAACUUCAGGAAACUGGGGCUAAUACCGGAUAGGAGCUCCUGCUGCAUGGUGGGGGUUGGAAAGUUUCGGCGGUUGGGGAUGGGAUCGAGGCUUAUCCGCUUGUUGGUGGGGUAGUGGCUUACCAAGGCUUUGACGGGUAGCCGGCCUGAGAGGGUGACCGGCCACAUGGGGACUGCGAGACGGCCCAGACGCGUACGGGCGGCAGCAGUGGGGAAUAUUGCACAAUGGGCGGAAGCCUGAUGCAGCAACGCCGCGUGCGUGAUGACGGCUUUCGGGUGGUAAACCGCUGUCUCCGGUGACGAAGCGGGAGUGACGGUAAUGGGUAAAGAAGCACCGGCUAACUACGUG